RNAcentral lists this RNase P RNA (382 nucleotides) under Paracoccaceae bacterium. Its description in RNAcentral is "Rhodobacteraceae bacterium (activated sludge metagenome) RNase P RNA component class A". It matches the Rfam family "Bacterial RNase P class A". Rfam says of the family: Ribonuclease P (RNase P) is a ubiquitous endoribonuclease, found in archaea, bacteria and eukarya as well as chloroplasts and mitochondria. Its best characterised activity is the generation of mature 5'-ends of tRNAs by cleaving the 5'-leader elements of precursor-tRNAs. Lineage: Bacteria; Pseudomonadati; Pseudomonadota; Alphaproteobacteria; Rhodobacterales; Paracoccaceae. The record is from RNAcentral.
GCGGAUGGCUGGAUGGCCGCGGCCCGGAUCGGGUCGAGGAAAGUCCGGACUCCAGGAAGGAAUGGCGGCGGGUAACGCCCGCCCGGGGCAACCCGAGGGAAAGCGCCACAGAGAACAGACCGCCUUCGGCCUCCGGGCCGGGGGCAAGGGUGAAACGGUGGGGUAAGAGCCCACCGCGCUUCCGGCAACGGCAGCGGCACGGCAAGCCCCGCCAGGAGCAAGGCCAAAUAGGGACCGCGCGGGGCUCUGCCCCAGGGAUCUUCCGCCCGAGCGGUCCGGGUUGGCUGCUUGAGCCCGUCGGCGACGGCGGGCCAAGAGGAAUGGUCAUCGUCGCGCCCCUCCGGGCGCGUCACAGAAUCCGGCUUACAGGCCGUCCGCGCGC